Molecule: non-coding RNA, 1917 nt
Organism: Anas platyrhynchos (mallard)
Lineage: Eukaryota; Metazoa; Chordata; Aves; Anseriformes; Anatidae
Source: RefSeq, a predicted model, not a curated record
UGGGGCUGGGAGCAGAUAUGUUGGCUAAGAUCCCCUGAGCUCAGCACUAAGCAGGAGUGAAACACAGGCUUUGCAAGAUGAAGUAUCUCUGGUGAAGGCCUGGGAGCCCAGAGCUGGCAGCCUACCCAAGCUCUGCAGAUAACAAGCAUCUGAGUGUGGCUGCUCCCCUGACUGAUCUCCUUUCUGCACCUGUUCCAGCUUGGUUUCAAGGCAGCUCCUGUCUAUGAACAAGCCAUGCUCAUGGCCUCAGGACAUUGAUUCUCCUACUAUUAAUCUCAUAAAUUUGGUAAUGUAUAAUAUGACCAUGACAACUUCUACAUAAGUGCUUGUUUUACAUACAUACUCUCUGGUCCAGUUUCAUAAAAUGUGCUUGAUGAUUUGCAAUUUUGCAAGUGUAUCACAUUUCACUUUCUCCAUUCUGGAGAGCGGAAAUACAUCUUAUUCACUCUGUGUUUUCCAGAUUCUUGCUCUGUUUAAUUACCCUGCUUUCCCAUCUUUCCAGCCAGCUGCAAGAACCUUGACCAAGAGCUAUUUGGAUCAUUUCUGAAUGCUAAAUUAACAAUUGCAGACUGACAGACUGAUGCUUUUCCCAGUAUUCAGAGGAGUGACCUAGCAGGCUUAUGCAGGGAUGACAACAGUGGAGGAUGAGGCUGACAGAGGAAAUGCUUCUCUAAGGAUGAAGCGAAUGUCUGCCCCUGGACCCAUGUCCCAUGUCCCAGGAAUGCCUGAGGAACUGAGGGCACGUUGGGACACUGAUGGGAGCUGAGAUGGGGAGCUCUGCCAAAAUACAAUGACAAAACAUGGCCACAGGAAAAAUAAUUGCUAACCACAACAGUGCUUGAUGGAGGGAUAAAAUACGUCUUAAUGUUUUUCUAUUUUUGACCAAGAAAAGCUUGGGUUUAUUUCAACGAGAUGUUUGCUUGUUUGAGGCAUCUGUGAUCACAUCCUGACUGUGGAUCACUGCUGGCAGGGAAGAAAAAUGCCACCCCUCGAUGAGUACAAGAAGAGCAAGCAACAACUGCCAGCAGUUUAGCUGGUUUGUGUAUAAAAAGCUUUCCAUGAGAUGGCAGUUUAGGCAUGAAACAGCUCUUCUAAAACCAGGAUCAGAGGGAUUAAUGGCAACACAUACUCUAUUUGUCCCUUGUUUCCAAAUCUUUCACUAAAGGUACUGUGAGCUUUGCCAUGGAUUUCCACAAGAUCAGAACUCAGCUCUCUGCUGCUUAGGUAGCAUUUAGAAGUAGCUUUUCUAUAAAGUAAAAACAUGUCUACAUACCAGUCCUUAAUCUCUUUAAGCACAAAGUUUAUUUGUUUCAUCAGCAAAGCAAAUUGCUGUAAAAACCACUUAGCAGCAUGAACUCUGUUGCACAGCAGAUUGAAAAGCAGUGCUGCCAGUGGCCAAACCACUGCACAAACACACACUUUUUCUUUACAGACCCAGACAGCAAAUCUAACUUCUUAGUGCAGCAAAUCAUGUCUUGUUCUUAAACUCUGAGGGAAGUUCAUAAACCCUCUUUUUUUUUUUUUUUUGUUUGUUUGUUUGUUUUGAAUGUAUUUUUUUAUUUUUAUUUUUAUUUUUAUUUUUAUUUUUAUUUUUAUUCUUCCAAGUAAGUACAAAGCUAUCUCAAGACUAUUUAAAGUGUUUGAGAAACAUCUUUUAACUAUAAUGCCAUGUAUUAAUUUGUAGAUUAUAGCAGCUCUUCUCCUGGGAAAGACUGAAGAAUAUGGUCUCAAACCUGGAGAAAGACGGUGCCAUUUCACCAGCAGAAUGCCACAACAUGUCACCAUGUCUGUGUAAGAAGCUGGAGCUACAGAAACAGCACAGGGGGGUCACAAGGAGCUUUAUUCUUUCAGGUCCUUCUGUCCUUACUCAGGUGAAGGACUCAUCCCAGGGAGAUAUUAAAGAUAAAAUUGCUAAAA